UUUGGGGGCAAUGUCGGCGACUUAGGAGCUGAACUCGCCGAUGUUGGAAGGGAACUCGCCGAUCCGAGUUGAAUUACUCGGCGAGGUCUCUUAAACAUGGGGACACCCCCCUUGCCUUUGGCCGGCGACUUCCCAAGGGGACUCGCCGACUUAAUUGCAAGAGUCGGGGGGAUCUCACCCGGUUCAACAGAAGGCUCUACCACGACAAGAGCCAACGAGUUAUCCGUCAAACUCGCCGAGUCUUUUUGGGAACUCGGCGAGCAUUCAGGAGUUAGCCCG
RNAcentral lists this long non-coding RNA (279 nucleotides) under Zostera marina. RNAcentral's name for it is "long non-coding RNA (ZMAR_LNC000066)". Lineage: Eukaryota; Viridiplantae; Streptophyta; Magnoliopsida; Alismatales; Zosteraceae. The record is from RNAcentral.